CUUAUCAAGAGUGGCUGAGGGAACAGGCCCGUUGAAGCCCGGCAACCUGACGAAAGUAAAGGUGCUAAAUCCUGCGGAAAUUUCCGGAAGAUGAGG
RNAcentral lists this non-coding RNA (96 nucleotides) under uncultured Ruminococcus sp. Its description in RNAcentral is "SAM riboswitch (S box leader)". It matches the Rfam family "SAM riboswitch aptamer (S box leader)". From Rfam's summary of the family: The SAM riboswitch is found upstream of a number of genes which code for proteins involved in methionine or cysteine biosynthesis in Gram-positive bacteria. Lineage: Bacteria; Bacillati; Bacillota; Clostridia; Eubacteriales; Oscillospiraceae. The record is from RNAcentral.